CCUACGGGUGGCACCAGUGGGGAAUCUUGGGCAAUGGGCGCAAGCCUGACCCAGCGACGCCGCGUGUGGGAAGAAGGCCUUCGGGUCGUAAACCACUGUCAGGAGGGAAGAAAAGCAGAUUCCGAACAGGGGUCUGUAUUGACGGUACCUCCAGAGGAAGCACCGGCCAACUCCGUGCCAGCAGCCGCGGUAAUACGGAGGGUGCAAGCGUUAUUCGGAAUCACUGGGCGUAAAGCGCGCGUAGGCGGCUGCGCAAGUCAGAUGUGAAAGCCCUCGGCUAAACCGGGGAAUUGCAUCUGAAACUGCGUAGCUAGAGUUCGGGAGAGGGCGGCGGAACUCCCGGUGUAGGGGUGAAAUCCGUAGAUAUCGGGAGGAACACCAGAGGCGAAGGCGGCCGCCUGGACCGAAACUGACGCUGAGGCGCGAAAGCGUGGGUAGCAAACAGGAUUAGAUACCCUUGUAGUC
This 465-nucleotide ribosomal RNA is filed under the name uncultured bacterium. Its description in RNAcentral is "bacterial SSU rRNA". It matches the Rfam family "Bacterial small subunit ribosomal RNA", at positions 338 to 795 of the family's 1533-position model. The record is from RNAcentral.